UGAGGAAUAUUGGUCAAUGGGGGCGACCCUGACCCAGCGACGCCGCGUGGGGGAAGACGGCCUUCGGGUUGUAAACCUCUUUUGUACGGGAAGAAGGAAGUGACGGUACUGUACGAAUAAGUCCCGGCUAACUACGUGCCAGCAGCCGCGGUAAUACGUAGGGGACGAGCGUUGUCCGGAAUUACUGGGCGUAAAGGGCGCGCAGGCUGUGCUGCAAGUCAGCUGUUAAAUGUCUGGGCUUAACCCGGGCAUGCGGUUGAGACUGCGGUGCUGGAGUGCUGUAGAGGCAAGUGGAAUUCCCAGUGUAGCGGUGAAAUGCGUAGAUAUUGGGAAGAACACCGGUGGCGAAGGCGACUUGCUGGGCAGCAACUGACGCUGAGGCGCGAAAGCCAGGGGAGCAAACGG
RNAcentral lists this ribosomal RNA (405 nucleotides) under uncultured bacterium. Its description in RNAcentral is "bacterial SSU rRNA". It matches the Rfam family "Bacterial small subunit ribosomal RNA", at positions 355 to 775 of the family's 1533-position model. The record is from RNAcentral.